CAAGCAGAAGCUGUAAGGAACUAGAAGUUGGAAGACAACAGGAAUAAUGACUAAGGAGAAAUCAUGAAGCAGAGGAGAGAAGAGGAAGCUGCUGGCUGAGGAAGUAGUAUUCUGCUGAAAUAUGUGAAAUAUUAGAAGACUAAGUGUUCAAGAGGUCAUCUCACUUGACCAAGGUCACAGAGAUUCAAGAACACAUACUCAGGUCCAUCUGGUCAGAGCUAAAAUAAAAGUUCCUAUCUGAGACAUCAUGGGACAACCAGGAGCAUGGCGCAAGGCAAGUCAAAUCCGUCUUUGGGGAAGCUCCAGAAGAGGAAAUUUGAUGUGAUGGCUGGAAACUGUGCAUGAAGACAGAAGAGAACGAAUGUGGAAGAUAUUAAGCAAUCAUUGUAAAUACAAUUUUUGCAGUUUGGGCUGCUGGCUGCAUGGCUGUUCAUUGGUUUGGAAUGGAUUGAAGUGUAAAUGGACACAAGGUGUAUUGUAAUGGUGUCACUUUUGGAUACUACUACCUAAAUCCAGCUGUGUCCUCUGCAAUCAGGGAUCCUUGGGCUCUCUACCUGUUGCCAGGAAACCACCCGAGCCUCCCUUUUCUCUGUCCAUCACUGAUCUAUUGAAAAACAAAAAUCCAGACAAAGACUAAGAGACCAACCUGUGCGUAGGGUUCCAUUACUGCUGGACGCAGAUGACAGACACUGUUUCCAUUCUUCAUGCAUGUGUAAUCUCUAGUUCAUGCAUAAUGUCUGCUUGUAUGACUUCAUUCCUGACCUCU
This is a long non-coding RNA of Orcinus orca (killer whale), 766 nucleotides long. RefSeq lists it as uncharacterized. The transcript has 3 exons. The record is from RefSeq and is a predicted model, not a curated record. Lineage: Eukaryota; Metazoa; Chordata; Mammalia; Artiodactyla; Delphinidae.